This 540-nucleotide ribosomal RNA is filed under the name Bifidobacterium breve. RNAcentral's name for it is "bacterial SSU rRNA". It matches the Rfam family "Bacterial small subunit ribosomal RNA", at positions 160 to 710 of the family's 1533-position model. The record is from RNAcentral. Lineage: Bacteria; Bacillati; Actinomycetota; Actinomycetes; Bifidobacteriales; Bifidobacteriaceae.
GUGGUAAUGCCGGAUGCUCCAUCACACCGCAUGGUGUGUUGGGAAAGCCUUUGCGGCAUGGGAUGGGGUCGCGUCCUAUCAGCUUGAUGGCGGGGUAACGGCCCACCAUGGCUUCGACGGGUAGCCGGCCUGAGAGGGCGACCGGCCACAUUGGGACUGAGAUACGGCCCAGACUCCUACGGGAGGCAGCAGUGGGGAAUAUUGCACAAUGGGCGCAAGCCUGAUGCAGCGACGCCGCGUGAGGGAUGGAGGCCUUCGGGUUGUAAACCUCUUUUGUUAGGGAGCAAGGCACUUUGUGUUGAGUGUACCUUUCGAAUAAGCACCGGCUAACUACGUGCCAGCAGCCGCGGUAAUACGUAGGGUGCAAGCGUUAUCCGGAAUUAUUGGGCGUAAAGGGCUCGUAGGCGGUUCGUCGCGUCCGGUGUGAAAGUCCAUCGCUUAACGGUGGAUCCGCGCCGGGUACGGGCGGGCUUGAGUGCGGUAGGGGAGACUGGAAUUCCCGGUGUAACGGUGGAAUGUGUAGAUAUCGGGAAGAACACC